GAGUUUGAUUCUGGCUCAGGAUGAACGCUGGCGGCGUGCCUAACACAUGCAAGUCGAGCGAUUACUUCGGUAAAGAGCGGCGGACGGGUGAGUAACGCGUGGGUAACCUGCCUCAUACACAUGGAUAACAUACCGAAAGGUAUGCUAAUACAGGAUAAUAUAGGAUAUUCACAUGGAUUUCUUAUCAAAGCUCCGGCGGUAUGAGAUGGACCCGCGUCUGAUUAGCUAGUUGGUAAGGUAAUGGCUUACCAAGGCGACGAUCAGUAGCCGACCUGAGAGGGUGAUCGGCCACAUUGGAACUGAGACACGGUCCAAACUCCUACGGGAGGCAGCAGUGGGGAAUAUUGCACAAUGGGCGAAAGCCUGAUGCCAGCAACGCCGCGUGAGUGAUGAAGGCCUUCGGGUCGUAAAACUCUGUCCUCAAGGAAGAUAAUGACGGUACUUGAGGAGGAAGCCCCGGCUAACUACGUGCCAGCCGCAGC
This 482-nucleotide ribosomal RNA is filed under the name uncultured bacterium. RNAcentral's name for it is "bacterial SSU rRNA". It matches the Rfam family "Bacterial small subunit ribosomal RNA", at positions 9 to 518 of the family's 1533-position model. The record is from RNAcentral.